Molecule: ribosomal RNA, 490 nt
Filed under: uncultured bacterium
Lineage: Bacteria
Description: partial 16S ribosomal RNA
Rfam family: Bacterial small subunit ribosomal RNA
Source: RNAcentral
AUUGAACGCUGGCGGCAGGCCUAACACAUGCAAGUCGAACGGUGACAGGAAGCAGCUUGCUGCUUCGCUGACGAGUGGCGGACGGGUGAGUAAUGUCUGGGAAGCUGCCUAAUGGAGGGGGAUAACUACUGGAAACGGUAGCUAAUACCGCAUAGUGUCGCAAGACCAAAGAGGGGGACCUUCGGGCCUCUUGCCAUCUGAUGUGCCCAGAUGGGAUUAGCUUGUUGGUGGGGUAACGGCUCACCAAGGCGACGAUCCCUAGCUGGUCUGAGAGGAUGACCAGCCACACUGGGACUGAGACACGGUCCAGACUCCUACGGGAGGCAGCAGUGGGGAAUAUUGCACAAUGGGCGCAAGCCUGAUGCAGCCAUGCCGCGUGUAUGAAGAAGGCCUUCGGGUUGUAAAGUACUUUCAGCGGGGAGGAAGGGAGUAAAGUUAAUACCUUUGCUCAUUGACGUUACCCGCAGAAGAAGCACCGGCUAACUCCGUG